GUGAGGAAUUUUCCGCAAUGGGCGAAAGCCUGACGGAGCAAUGCCGCGUGAAGGAUGAAGGCCUAUGGGUUGUAAACUUCUUUUCUCAGAAAAGAAUUAUGACGGUAUCUGAGGAAUAAGCAUCGGCUAACUCUGUGCCAGCAGCCGCGGUAAGACAGAGGAUGCAAGCGUUAUCCGGAAUGAUUGGGCGUAAAGCGUCUGUAGGUUGUUUAAAAAGUAUUCUGUCAAAGAUCAGGGCUUAACCCUAGAUAGGCAGAAUAAACUUUUAAGCUAGAGUUUGGUAGAGGCAGAGGGAAUUCCCGGUGGAGCGGUGAAAUGCGUAGAUAUCGGGAGGAACACCAAAGGCGAAGGCACUCUGCUGGGCUAAUACUAACACUGAGAGACGAAGGCGAGGGGAGCAAAUGGGAUUAGAAACCCGUGUAGUCC
Molecule: ribosomal RNA, 426 nt
Filed under: uncultured bacterium
Lineage: Bacteria
Description: partial 16S ribosomal RNA
Rfam family: Bacterial small subunit ribosomal RNA
Source: RNAcentral